UACAGAGGGUGCGAGCGUUGUUCGGAAUUACUGGGCGUAAAGCGCGCGCAGGCGGCCUUUUAAGUCUACCCGUGAAAUGCCGGGGCUCAACUCCGUGCACGCCGGGGGAUACUGGGAGGCUGGAGACAUGUAGAGGCAAGCGGAAUUCCGGGUGUAGCGGUGGAAUGCGUAGAGAUCCGGAAGAACACCUGAGGCGAAGGCGGCUUGCUGGGCAUGAUCUGACGCUGAGGAGCGAAAGCCAGGGGAGCAAACGGG
This 255-nucleotide ribosomal RNA is filed under the name uncultured bacterium. Its description in RNAcentral is "partial 16S ribosomal RNA". It matches the Rfam family "Bacterial small subunit ribosomal RNA", at positions 524 to 776 of the family's 1533-position model. The record is from RNAcentral.